RNAcentral lists this ribosomal RNA (498 nucleotides) under uncultured Moryella sp. RNAcentral describes it as "bacterial SSU rRNA". It matches the Rfam family "Bacterial small subunit ribosomal RNA", at positions 8 to 507 of the family's 1533-position model. The record is from RNAcentral. Lineage: Bacteria; Bacillati; Bacillota; Clostridia; Lachnospirales; Lachnospiraceae.
AGAGUUUGAUCCUGGCUCAGGAUGAACGCUGGCGGCGUGCUUAACACAUGCAAGUCGAACGAGAGAUACAGGAGGAAGUUUUCGGAUGGAAUCCGGUAGAUCGAGUGGCGGACGGGUGAGUAACGCGUGGGGAACCUGCCUCAUACAGGGGGAUAACAGUUGGAAACGACUGUUAAUACCGCAUAAGACCACAGAGUCGCAUGACUCAGGGGUAAAAACUCCGGUGGUAUGAGAUGGACCCGCGUUCGAUUAGCCAGUUGCGGGGGUAACGGCCCACCAAAGCGACGAUCGAUAGCCGAUUUGAGAGAAUGACCGGCCACAUUGGGACUGAGACACGGCCCAAACUCCUACGGGAGGCAGCAGUGGGGAAUAUUGCACAAUGGGGGGAACCCUGAUGCAGCGACGCCGCGUGAGUGAAGAAGUAUUUCGGUAUGUAAAGCUCUAUCAGCAGGGAAGAAGAUGACGGUACCUGAGUAAGAAGCCCCGGCUAACUACGUG